RNAcentral lists this ribosomal RNA (492 nucleotides) under uncultured bacterium. RNAcentral's name for it is "bacterial SSU rRNA". It matches the Rfam family "Bacterial small subunit ribosomal RNA", at positions 903 to 1397 of the family's 1533-position model. The record is from RNAcentral.
AAAUGAAUUGACGGGCACCCGCACAAGCGGUGGAGCGUGCUGUUUAAUUCGAAGGUACUCGAAGAACCUUACCUGGGUUUGACAUCCCACAGAUCACCCUAGAAAUAGGGUUUCCCUUCGGGGCUGUGGUGACAGGUGGUGCAUGGUUGUCGUCAGCUCGUGUCGUGAGAUGUUGGGUUAAGUCCCAUAACGAGCGCAACCCUUAUUCUUAGUUGCUACCAUUAAGUUGAGCACCCUAAGGAGACUGCCGGUGAUAAGCCGGAGGAAGGUGGGGAUGAGGUCAAAUCAUCAUGCCCCUUAUGCCCAGGGCUACAGGCGCGCUACAAUGGCCGGUACAAUGAGCAGCAAUAUCGUGAGAUGGAGCAAAUCUCAAAAGCCGGUCUCAGUUCAGAUUGAAGUCUGCAACUCGACUUCAUGAAGUCGGAAUCGCUAGUAAUCGCGAAUCAGCAUGUCGCGGUGAAUACGUUCCCGGGUGUUGUACACACCGCCCGU